UACACUCUAACAUCCACAUUUAUGGUAAGUGUACACAAUUGUACUUUCGGUCAAGGACUGGUUCCACUACUUGCCAAGAUGGACUUAAGGCUUCCAUUACCCUGAAAAGGGUAAAUGCCAAUUUUUUAGUGUUGGGAUUCAAAUUAAUGAAUUUCAUCCUGCAUCCCUGGGUUUGAUUCCCUCAAUCUGCCAUCUGUUAACCUCUCAGGAAAUUUAGGCAAUGCUGCUGCUGUUGGGUUACCCCUGAAGAGGUGAAGCUGGUGCCUUGUUCCCAAACUUUUCUCCAAAAAAGGAGAGGAACUGGUUCUGGGGAAAUGGUAUUGAACUGGACAGAGCAGCCAAAAUGAACAGUUGUGGGGAUGGUGGUUAGCAGUUCUUUCUAGUAGGGAACUGUUUAUAGCACAGGGUUUACAUAACGCAAUGUUUCUAACAGUUUGCUUUGAAGAUGCAUGCUCUCCUGUGUUUACUGGAAAUCAGUGUUAAUUAUAUGCUUCAUUUGAAGUUUAACAAGCUUUUAAUUCACUUUGAUCACUGUGUCCCUUUUGUGGCUUGCCAUUCUGGUGACUGUCUAGUUCUUUGUCUAGCAGUCGUGUAUAUGCACAUAGAAAAUUGGUUAUGUUCUCUACUCUUACAUGCCUGAGAAUCCUAUCUAAUCUUUUUUUAUAUAAAGUGGGCUAAACUUGCCUGUUGUGUUUACUAACUCUUUGUUCUUCCUUUGUAGUCCACUAUCGCAAAUAGGAGUUAUUCAGAAGGCAACUGUGAAGAUGAAGAGCAGGAAGAGGAACAGAAUGUAAAGGAAGAGAAGUCUGAGCCAACUCCAGUAGUACCUGCAGUUCCUACAGUUAUACCCAGCAGAAGAAAUCCCCCUGGUGGCAAAUCCAGUCUAAUACUAGGCUAAACUGUGUCUUUUUUUUUUCUUUCUGUAGUUUUCUGAGCUACCAAACGUGAACAUGUCCUCCCAUUUUUAUGUAUUUUUUUAUAUUAAAAGCACUUUAGGCAUUGCUGUUUUUCUUAACUUAUGUCCUUACUUUUCCACACUCCAUCCAAGCCUUCUGGAAAAAGCACAGAAGCUAUAGUGAAUUGAUGGGAUUUUCUGAAGACUGCUUACAAAUGCUGUGUAUGUAAACUGAAGGAAAUAAAUGUUUUGAAUUUAAA
Protopterus annectens (West African lungfish) is the source of this 1155-nucleotide long non-coding RNA. RefSeq lists it as uncharacterized. The record is from RefSeq and is a predicted model, not a curated record. Lineage: Eukaryota; Metazoa; Chordata; Ceratodontiformes; Protopteridae. The transcript is spliced from 2 exons.